RNAcentral lists this unclassified non-coding RNA (427 nucleotides) under Venturia canescens. RNAcentral's name for it is "putative uncharacterized protein DDB_G0291608, transcript variant X2". The record is from RNAcentral. Lineage: Eukaryota; Metazoa; Arthropoda; Insecta; Hymenoptera; Ichneumonidae.
CCAAAAUCCUGUGAAUCUCAAUGAAAAUUUUGAUUGAAAGCUCGUUCAAAAAAAGGUCCGAAAAAAUUAAUUCCUUUUUGGCACACAAGACAGUUUCAUUUCUUACGAUGCAAUGCAAAUUUCAGCGCCGUAAUCGUUCCCCGUCUUUCACUCAGGAUGAUUGAUCUUUUCAAAUCUUUGUCUCAGUUUCGAAGUUUCUAUUGAAUGGAACAUUCGAAUACAAUUAUUGUUCGCAGAGGUCGUCAAAAACCCGUAUAAUGGAACUGAAAGUGCGACAAGAAUGUGUACGCGAAUAACUCGAGGCGUUGUUUCGGCCACUGGUUACACACAGAACAGCAUUAUCCAUCGCAGCAACUUUGCUCGUGGCCCUGUUGAUCGAAUCCUCGUUCGCCGAGGACCCCGUCCGUCCACCGCCGAUAAAGAUAGA